GGCGCAAAGACUUAAUCCCAAAUGACUGUUCACUCUCUUUUCACUGCAAAGUUGCGUUCAAACUCGUGAAAUUUUGAACGAGUGAGUCUCAAGUCCCUCUUCACGCAUCUCUAACCGUUUCUUAUGCGAAUUUUCUCAUUACCUUCACUCGCUCGAUUUGGAGAUAAGGCACGCGAUUUGAAGCUUCUGGGAACGAUUUGCUGGAUGAGUGUGAGGCGUUGGAUUGAUUUCACUCAAUCCAAGCACCACAUUCAUCAGGAAUUCGUUCUCAAAAGGGAAUUUUUGAUGGAUUUUGGAGGGGGACUGAAAAAAAAUUCAGAUAAAAAGGGUUGAAAGGUUUCUAAAAUGAACUUCUGGUUUUCAAAUGUUGGGUUUUUUAUUUUUUUUGAAGAGUUCUUUCAAGGUGUAAGGGGAACAUAUGUAUAAAAUUAUUUAUUUUUGAAUUUGGUUUGUUGAAUGCUUAAGCGAUAGAAAUUAAUGAAGGUCGUUCAACUGGUGGUGAGAUUUAAGCUCGUUGACUUGGAUUUCUACUGUCAUCUUGUUGGCUGCUGCUGAACCUCGUUAGAAUUUGGAGUCGAAAGGUGUGCUGUCGAGUCUGUAAUUUAUCAGGAAGUUUAAAAUAUCAGGUAAAAUUUCUUUUCUCUGCUAAAUUUCUGUUUUAAAGUGGUUGGAAAGGUGAGGUUUUGUUCAAUGGUAUUCUGUCCCGUGAUUGAAUUUUUUGUUGAUGAAUUUCUUCUCAAUGGUAUAAUGUGUUUGAGU
RNAcentral lists this long non-coding RNA (759 nucleotides) under Nicotiana benthamiana. RNAcentral describes it as "long non-coding RNA (NBEN_LNC016748)". The stretch from base 196 to 266 matches the Rfam family "MIR6151 microRNA precursor family". Lineage: Eukaryota; Viridiplantae; Streptophyta; Magnoliopsida; Solanales; Solanaceae. The record is from RNAcentral.